This 683-nucleotide ribosomal RNA is filed under the name Vreelandella aquamarina. RNAcentral's name for it is "bacterial SSU rRNA". It matches the Rfam family "Bacterial small subunit ribosomal RNA", at positions 780 to 1462 of the family's 1533-position model. Lineage: Bacteria; Pseudomonadati; Pseudomonadota; Gammaproteobacteria; Oceanospirillales; Halomonadaceae. The record is from RNAcentral.
AGAUACCAUGGUAGUCCACGCCGUGAACGAUGUCGACCAGCCGUUGGGUGCCUAGCGCACUUUGUGGCGAAGUUAACGCGAUAAGUCGACCGCCUGGGGAGUACGGCCGCAAGGUUAAAACUCAAAUGAAUUGACGGGGGCCCGCACAAGCGGUGGAGCAUGUGGUUUAAUUCGAUGCAACGCGAAGAACCUUACCUACUCUUGACAUCCUGCGAAUUCGGUAGAGAUACCUUAGUGCCUUCGGGAACGCAGAGACAGGUGCUGCAUGGCUGUCGUCAGCUCGUGUUGUGAAAUGUUGGGUUAAGUCCCGUAACGAGCGCAACCUGCUUGUCCUUAUUUGCCAGCGCGUAAUGGCGGGAACUCUAAGGAGACUGCCGGUGACAAACCGGAGGAAGGUGGGGACGACGUCAAGUCAUCAUGGCCCUUACGAGUAGGGCUACACACGUGCUACAAUGGUCGGUACAAAGGGUUGCGAGCUCGCGAGAGUCAGCCAAUCCCGAAAAGCCGAUCUCAGUCCGGAUCGGAGUCUGCAACUCGACUCCGUGAAGUCGGAAUCGCUAGUAAUCGUAGAUCAGAAUGCUACGGUGAAUACGUUCCCGGGCCUUGUACACACCGCCCGUCACACCAUGGGAGUGGACUGCACCAGAAGUGGUUAGCCUAACGCAAGAGGGCGAUCACCACGG